AUGACCAAGAUGAAGAAGAAGAAGACGGCCGCGGUGAUGAUGAUCGUGACGCCCCGGCCGACCAUGACGACCGUGCCCGCGGCGGGAGAAGAGGCCGCCGGGGGCACAACAACGACCACCCCAGGGCUAAUCAAAACUGGCGGCGCAGGGAUCGAGAUGACGACGAUCGGGACGAACGGGGACGAGACUUCGGGCGCGGCCGCGGCGAACAACGUGCGAUUGAUCAAGACUACCGCCGUGAACGCACACGCCCCCCGCGCCAACGCGACAGGGGAUGGCACAGUCGCCAUGGCGGCCGGCGUCAUCACGCUGGUGCAACUGACGUGGACAACGUCAUCGACCCUGUCCACCCCGAGCCACACCUGGCAGAGAUCUCUCUGCCUUCCCGCCAGCAGGAGCUUCACACCGAGGACGCAGGAAAUCCCGGCGAGCCCUCCGACUUUAACUGGUGAUCAGUUGCUUCGCCUCGCGCUUGUCGCUGAUAAGGCCAUGACUGCGCCACCUCCGACGGCAACAGAGGACCUGGCCAUCCGGUCUUUUACUGGGACUGAAGCCUGGUUCGGCGGCAUGGCAUGGAAGCCGGUGCGUGUUGCGCGCGUCUUUGGCCGCAUCAGGGAGGCCUUGCCGGCCACGCUAGCGGUUGAAACGCUGACAACCUGCCAGCAAAUUGAGGAGGCGCUGAUGCACCUUGAGCUGGCUGUCGCUGUAGCUCGCACCCUAGGCGAUGACACUCUCCUACCACAGCCCAUGUCACCGGCACCUCUCGCUGCGUCCCCGCCUCGCCGCUUGGAAGAUCUGGCCAGCGACGCUGCGGCCGACAAGAUUCUGCCGGCGCCGCUCCCCAGGGCGCUGCUUCCCCAAGAGAUGACCCCGAUGCCAGCCACCCCGCCCCCGUCGGCGCUGGAGCCGGGCUCGCUGCCGGAACCUGGUGUGUCGCCGGUGGCCUGCGUGCCGCCUCCCCAGCAUUUCUAUGGAACCUCAGCUCUUGGAGCACAUGUC
RNAcentral lists this long non-coding RNA (999 nucleotides) under Oryza sativa aus subgroup. Its description in RNAcentral is "lncRNA OsN22_03G036350". Lineage: Eukaryota; Viridiplantae; Streptophyta; Magnoliopsida; Poales; Poaceae. The record is from RNAcentral.